Molecule: long non-coding RNA, 5554 nt
Filed under: Homo sapiens (human)
Lineage: Eukaryota; Metazoa; Chordata; Mammalia; Primates; Hominidae
Description: non-protein coding lnc-KIAA0391-3:1
Source: RNAcentral
AAAUUUAAAAAUACUGGGAAUGUGAAAGGAAAGUCCUUAGAAUCAGCCAUACCCCAGGGGUCCUUAGAAAAAGUUACAAUUCAUAUAUUUAUUAGGAAGAGAGAUGUAGAAAAAUAAUACCAUUAGAUUCCAUUAUAAUAUUUUCUUGCUUCGUGACUCUGCUCAGUCCUCUUAAGUUUGUUAAAGCUCAGGCUUUCCUUAUGAUCAAAAUAUGGAUGAGACAGAAUCUCGCUUUGUUUCCCAGGCUGGUCUCAAACUCCUGGCUUCAAGUGAUCCUCCCACCUUGGCCUCCCAAAGUGCUGGGAUUACAGGCAUGAGCCACCACACCUGUUCCCUAUUUUUAAUAUCUUAUAACUGAAUGCUUUAAUCCUGCAACUUAAGAUACAUCUUCACUGCUCAUGUGCAGUCACCACCAGCUGAGCCUUCUUGUUCUCCUCCAAGGUGGUGAUGGUGUUAACUCCUGCUCGAAGGACAGGUGGUCUUUUAGUGGGGACGUAACUUAAUAGGCAUAGAAUCACCUGGGGAUCCCACUCAAAAUGCCAGUUCUGAUUCAGGUCUGACAUACCCCGUGAUGCCAAUGCUGCAGACUGUAAUUUGAGAAGUAAGGGCCUCAGUGAGCUCCACAAUUAUAUAAAAAAUAGUAACAAAACAACACCUGUGAGUCCAAGUCCUGAGUCAGUCUCAUCAUUCUCACACUCAGCAGACUUAACUGGAAACUAAAAGCCAUCUGUUAUGAACCUCUUCAUCAAUGUUUGCCUUUUCCAAUAAUUUUCCUCUCCUGAAUCUUUUCUCCCUUUUCUUCCCUAGGUUACUUAAAAAGAAAUUUUUUUUUAAAUUAUAAAAUAGAGACAGGAUCAGGUUGGUCUUGAACUCUUUGCCUCUAUCAGUCCUCUUGCCUUGGCCUCUCAAGGUGCUAGGAUUACAGGCAUCAGCCACUACUCCUGGCCCUAGGUUACUUUUUCUACCUACAUCCACGCUGUUCCUUCUUUCUGAAUUGGGAUCUUGUUCUCAGUUAAUCCCUUUCCUCCAGCUCUUUCCCAUUUACUUACAAAUACCUUUAGGCUCUGACUGGACAAAACUGUGCUUUCCCAGGGAUAGUUUCAUAGCAACAUUCUCAAAAGAAGGCACCAUCUCUGCCAUUGGUUUCUUUCCAAUUCCACAUUUGCAGCUGACCAACUUCACCUGAGACACUCAAACUGAACCACUUUGAAAACAGCUUAUUCAUAAUAGUGUAAUUGACAAUAAUGAAAUUGGAAGUAACUAUUCAAAAUAAGGGAAGAAGUAAAUAACUGUAAUUUAAUUUUUUAUUUUUUGAGACAGGGUCCUGCUGUCACCCAGGCUGAUGUGCAGCAGUGUGAUCAUGACUCACUGCUCCUGGACUCAAGCAAUCCUCCUGCCUCAGCCUCCUGAGUAGCUGGUACUACUGGCGCACUCUACCACCCCCAGAUAAUUUUCUAACUUAUUUGUAAAUUAAAAAAAAAUUUUUUUUUUUACAGACAGGGUCUCACUAUGUUUCCCAGGCUGGUCCUGAACUCCUGGCCUCAAGCAAUCCACUUAUCUCGGCCUUCCAAAGCGCUGGGAUUACAGGAUGAGCCAUUGCACCUAACCUAAACGUAACUUUUAACGUUGCAAUGAUUAAAAUGAUACUUUGCACUUUGGGAGGUCAAGGCAGGAGGAUUUCUUGCAUCUAGGAGCUCAAGACCAGCCUGGGAAGCAUGGUGAGAUUCCCCCCAUCUCUACAAAAAAGACAAAAAUUAGCUGGGCACGGUGGCAUGUGCCUGUCGUCUCAGCUACUCAGGAGGUUGAGGUAGGAGGAUUGCUUGAGCCUGGGAGGCACAGGUUGCAGUGAGCCAAGAUCGAGCCACUGCACUCCAGCCUGGGCAACAGAGUGAGACCCACACAGCCUGGGCAACAGAGUGAGACCCCACAGGGUCAGGCUGGAGUGCAAAGGAAAGAUCUCAGCUCACUGCAACCUCUGCCUCCUGGGCUCAAGCGGUUCUCCUGCCUCAGCCUCCUGAGUAGCUGGGACUACAGGCGUGCACCACCACACCCAGCUAAUUUUUUGUAUUUUUUAGUGGAGUCAGGGUUUCACCAUGUUGGCCAGGCUGGUGUCAAACUCCUGACCUCAGGUGUUCACUCACCUUGGCCUCCCAAAGUGCUGGGAUUACAGGCGUGAGCCACCGUGCCCCACCGAUACUUUGUACAUUGGCAUAGAAUCAAUGAAAAAGCAGCUCCAAAAUAGUAUGUCUAGUAAGAUCCCAUUUUUUAAAUGAAGGAAAGAAAAUACUUGGCUGGUCAGGUGUGGUGGCUCACACCUGUAAUCCUAACACUUCGGGAGGCUGAGGUGGGAGAAUCUUUUGAGCCCAGGAGUACGAGACCAGCCUGGGCAACACAGGGAGACCCUAUCUCUACAAAAAAAAAAAAAAAGAGAGAGAAAGAGAAAAAAUACUUGGAGGAAAAUGUCUGGAAGGAAUAACAUUUCAUUGAUUCCACAAUGUCAAUAGGUAUCUCUGGAUGUUGGGUUGUGGAUGAUUUUUACUUCAUCUUCUUCACAGUCUAAAAUUUUUGCAAUAGGUGUAAUAGGAUGUUAGACUAGAACUCUUUUUUUUUUUUUUUUUUUAGGAGAUGGGGUCUCACUCUGUUGCCCAGGCUGGAGUGCCGUGAUGCAAUCAUAGCUCACUGCAGCCUCGACCUCCUGGGCUCAAGCAAUUAUCCUGCCUCAGCCUCCCAAGUAACUGGGACCGCUGGCACACACCCUAUAAGGUGGACACCACCACACCUGGUUAAUUUAUUUUUUGUAGAUAAAGGGUUUUGCCAUGUUGCCCAAGCUGGUCUCAAACUCCUGGGCUCAAGCAAUCCUCCCAACUCGGCCUCCCAAAGUGCUAGGAUUAUAGAUAGGCAUGAGCCACCAUGUCCAGCCUUUACAAAUUUUUUGCAGAUAAUCUCUUCUUUCCAUUCCUAUUGCUGCUUACCCCAGUUCAGGCCUUCAAAAACUUUCACUUGGUCUAUUAUCAAUAGCCUCCUGGCUGAUGUCCCCAAUGACAGUUCCUCAUAAAUACAGCUACAAGGUUUAUCUUCCCAAAGCAUAAUUCUAGUCUUGCCACUCUCCUUGCUCAAAAACAUUAAAUGUCUCCCCGUAGCCUUCCAACUAGAUAGAGCAUAAAUUCCUUAGCUUAGUAUCCAAGGCCAGCUCCUUUCAUUUGUACCCUAAUCCAAAACAUUUUUUGAGUCAUACUUAGGUUAGGCUAUUGCCUAGCUUGCCCUAAACACAGGAUCUUUUUUCUUCCUCUGCUUGUUUAUGCCACUCCCAUUCCAUGUUGCAUUGUGGUGCCUCCCAUAUUGCUCCUAACAUUGCUCUUAACACACCUGUUAAGAGUUCUCCCUGUUCUAAGCUGAGCUUGGACAUGCAUCUUCCAACAGGUAGUCUUACAUUCCCUUUGGCCCGUGAGCAUAUAAGGUCAUUUUCUCAUCUGUGCUGCUCUGUUACACAUUUCCUUGUGUAUUACGGACUACCUCAUGUUAGCUUUGCUUUCAUUCAUGUUUCAUCUCCAUGGAACUCUGGUGGGGACGCUGUCGGGUUCAUCUGUGUGUCUCCCAGAGCAGCUAGCCCAGCUUCUUGCCCAAAGAGGGAGCUCAGUAAAUGUUGAAUUACUUUGGAGAAUUUGUUUGAAAAUAUCUUCCUGAUUUUUACCUCUAAUGCCUACUUCUCCUUUAAGUGAAUACCCCUCUUGCUCCUUGGUCUUUUGUGUGUGAGCUGGCUAAGUGGGAACUUAAUCUGUGGUGUCUGAUGCCUCACUGAUCCUCAAAAAAACAGUAACUUCUCAGUGCCAUCCUCUAUAAUCAUAUGAUAUCUUCAGUCACUUAAGCCCAGGAGUUCAAGACCAGCCUGGGCAAUAUAGUGAGACAUUAUCUCUACAAAAAACUUAAAAAUCAGCCAAGCAUGGUGGUGCAUGCCUGUAGUCCCAGCUACUUGGGAGGCUGAAGUGGGAGGAUCGCCUGGGAGGCAGAGGUUGCAGUGAGCCAAGAUCGUGCCACUGCACUCUAGCCAGAGUGACAGAGCAAAACUCUAUCUCAAAAAAAACAAAAAACAAAAAAAAAAACCGUAGCACACUCUUGCUUUUCUAUCAAUAACUGGACUCUCAAGAACUGGUUUCUAAAUUAGUGACUGAAAAUAUUGGUCAAAAUGAUCAGAAACCUCAUUCAUUUGCAUUUUCUCUCUCCCUCUCUCCAAUUACCCUCAAGAGAAUUUGGUUCAUUCUGAGCAUCACAGAUGACUUAAUUUUGCAGUGGCGUGAUCAUAGCUCACUGCAACCUGGAUCUCCUGGGCUCAAGCCAUCCUCCCACCUUAGCCCCCCGAGUAGCUGGGACUACUGGCGCGCGCCACCACGCACAGCUAAUUUUAUUUUUUGUAGAGACGGGGCCUUCCUAUGUUGGCCAGGCUGGAGUUAGGCUUUCUUUCUUUUUUUUUUGACCCCAUCUCUAAAAAAUUGUUUUAAAUUAGGCAUGGUGAUACCCACCUGUAGUCUCAGCUGCUCAGGAGACUGAAGUGGGAGGGUCUGAAUCAGAAGUUUGAGGCUGUGGUGAGCUAUGAUUGUGCCACUGCACUCAGCCUGGGUGACAGAGCAAGAUGCUGUCUCUUGCUCAAUAAUGAUAAUAAUGAUAAAACCAGUUAAAUCCAAGCCAUAUUUGAAGAUUUCUUUUCUUUUGUUUCUUUUUUUUUUUUUUGAAAUGGGGUCUUGCUCUGUUGCCCAGGCUGGAGUACGGUGGUGUGAGCACGGCUCACUGCAGCCUCGACCUCCUGGGCUCAAGUGAUCCUCUUGCCUCAGCCUCCCAAGGAACUGGGACCACAGGUGUACCACCAUGCCUAGCUAACAUUUUUUUGUAGAGACAGGGUCUUGCCAUGUUGCCCAGGCUGGCCUGGGACUCCGGGGCUCAAGCAGUCCUCCCACCUUGGCUUCCCAAAUUGCUAGGAUUACAGAUGUGAGCCACUGCACCCAGCUGAGGAUUUCCUUUAAGGUGAUUUUUCUAGAAUCAUUUUUGCUCUGUUCUUUUGUUCUCUCUUAAAUAGUUAGCCAUUUAGAAAUAUUUGAUGAUUUAUUACAGUUUCUAUUAAAAGAGAUUCUUUAGCCUGAUAGGCAGUAGCUUUCUUAGCUGGUCGUCAUCACCUGUGGCUUUUUGAACAGAUGAGGCCUUGGCUCAGACUCAGUGCCCAGAGUGACACUCGAAGACAGAAUUUUGAAAUAAUCUGUUAUAUGUCAAAAUGUAAAUAAUGAUUGGGAUUAUGAAUAAUUAUUUAAAAGUUAUCUUCUGUGUUUUCAUAUUUUCUACCAUGAGCAUGUAUUGAUUUUUGUUGCUUUUCCCCUGAUUACAAAAUAUGUGCCCAGGCCAGGAACAGUGGCUCAUGCCUGUAAUCCUAAGGUGGGAGGAUCACUUGAGCCAGAGUUUGAGACCAGCCUGGGCGACAUAGCAAGACCCCAUAUCUAUUUUUAACUAAAAAUAAAAUAAACAGGCCAGGCAUGGUGGCUCAUCCCUGUAAUCCCAUCACUUUGGGAGU